This 1460-nucleotide ribosomal RNA is filed under the name metagenome. Its description in RNAcentral is "bacterial SSU rRNA". It matches the Rfam family "Bacterial small subunit ribosomal RNA". The record is from RNAcentral.
AGAGUUUGAUCCUGGCUCAGGAUGAACGCUGGCGGCGUGCCUAACACAUGCAAGUCGAGCGAUUCUCUUCGGAGAAGAGCGGCGGACGGGUGAGUAACGCGUGGGUAACCUGCCCUGUACACACGGAUAACAUACCGAAAGGUAUGCUAAUACGAGAUAAUAUGCUUUUAUCGCAUGGUAGAAGUAUCAAAGUUUUUGCGGUACAGGAUGGACCCGCGUCUGAUUAGCUAGUUGGUAAGGUAACGGCUUACCAAGGCGACGAUCAGUAGCCGACCUGAGAGGGUGAUCGGCCACAUUGGAACUGAGACACGGUCCAAACUCCUACGGGAGGCAGCAGUGGGGAAUAUUGCACAAUGGGCGAAAGCCUGAUGCAGCAACGCCGCGUGAGCGAUGAAGGCCUUCGGGUCGUAAAGCUCUGUCCUCAAGGAAGAUAAUGACGGUACUUGAGGAGGAAGCCCCGGCUAACUACGUGCCAGCAGCCGCGGUAAUGCGUAGGGGGCUAGCGUUAUCCGGAAUUACUGGGCGUAAAGAGUGCGUAGGUGGUUUCUUAAGCCAGAGGUGAAAGGCUACGGCUCAACCGUAGUAAGCCUUUGAAACUGGGAAACUUGAGUGCAGGAGAGGAGAGUGGAAUUUCUAGUGUAGCGGUGAAAUGCGUAGAUAUUAGGAGGAACACCAGUUGCGAAGGCGGCUCUCUGGACUGUAACUGACACUGAGGCACGAAAGCGUGGGAGCAAACAGGAUUAGAUACCCUGGUAGUCCACGCCGUAAACGAUGAGUACUAGCUGUCGGAGGUUACCCCCUUCGGUGGCGCAGCUAACGCAUUAAGUACUCCGCCUGGGAAGUACGCUCGCAAGAGUGAAACUCAAAGGAAUUGACGGGGACCCGCACAAGUAGCGGAGCAUGUGGUUUAAUUCGAAGCAACGCGAAGAACCUUACCUAAGCUUGACAUCCUUUUGACUGAUGCCUAAUCGCAUCUUUCCCUUCGGGGACAGAAGUGACAGGUGGUGCAUGGUUGUCGUCAGCUCGUGUCGUGAGAUGUUGGGUUAAGUCCCGCAACGAGCGCAACCCUUGCCUUUAGUUGCCAGCAUUAAGUUGGGCACUCUAGAGGGACUGCCAGGGAUAACCUGGAGGAAGGUGGGGAUGACGUCAAAUCAUCAUGCCCCUUAUGCUUAGGGCUACACACGUGCUACAAUGGGUGGUACAGAGGGCAGCCAAGUCGUGAGGCGGAGCUAAUCCCUUAAAGCCAUUCUCAGUUCGGAUUGUAGGCUGAAACUCGCCUACAUGAAGCUGGAGUUACUAGUAAUCGCAGAUCAGAAUGCUGCGGUGAAUGCGUUCCCGGGUCUUGUACACACCGCCCGUCACACCACGGGAGUUGGGGGCGCCCGAAGCCGGAUUGCUAACCUUUUGGAAGCGUCCGUCGAAGGUGAAAUCAAUAACUGGGGUGAAGUCGUAACAAGGUA